Astatotilapia calliptera (eastern happy) is the source of this 1094-nucleotide long non-coding RNA. NCBI's taxonomy places the organism in Eukaryota, Metazoa, Chordata, Actinopteri, Cichliformes, Cichlidae. The record is from Ensembl.
UUCUAGACUUAGUUUGGGAAUUGCAUGUAGCAAAUCAUUUCCCCUCUGUCUGGAAACCGGUAAAUGCGUUCCGUUUGUCAAAGCGUGUUAGCGAAGCGCCUGCAGCAAAUUCAUUACCACCCAACUGCGAGGCUCACUUCGCAACCUGGUCAGGCAAGAGGAGGGAGUUGUCCACGCCAAACCGCGAACAAUGCUGCCUUAGUUCGUGCGUGCAACAAAAGAACCGAGGGAACUUGUUUGAAUUUCAGAGCACGUCCUCUGCUCACACAGAAGGAUGGACUUUACCCCCCCAAACCCACAACCCCUCCUCAUCAUCAUCAUCAUCACCCCCUCCCUCCUCAUCCGAACCCACCAUCAACAGGGGGAGAAAAAAAACUUGCACACUCUGAGAAGCUCAACUGUGCAUGCACUUUUUUUUUUAUUUGGUGCUUGUAGACGUUAUGGGAAAGUUGUGUCUCUCCCUCUCCCCAUCCCUCCCUCUUUCUCCUUCUCUUCGUCUGUCAUGUGCGUGGGAUGCUCAUGCUUUGCACAGAGCAGCUGUAGCACGCCGAAUACAGGCUAGAGUGUUAGCGGCAAUUUUAAAGUCCCCCCCUCCCUUCCCUUCCGCUCCCCCACCCACCAAAUAAUACGGCUGGGAUAUUUGAAGGGAACAUACACCAUAUCACGGUACACUCGGACCCCGUUGUUCUUCACCGGGUUGGGACGGCUUCUGGUCUGAUUGUGACUCGCCAUUAGGAAGUUUGAUGGACCAGAAGUCCAUCAUGAUCCACAAACAUCUGGAAUAAUGACCGGAGUCUCGGACUAAGGACAUGGAAUACAUUCUGCUGAUCUCAGAGGUAAAUAAGUUAUCCUGAUUAAGAAGAACGGAGCCAAACUUUCAGCAAUACAGAGUCUUACAACAGCCUGAAAAUAGUACUUACUGUGCCUUUGUUCUGAUGGGUAUCAUAUUUUCUUUUCUUUUUUUUAAUGGAAAAACACUUCUUAAAAUAAGAUGAAAAUAUUCUACACAUUAAAACAUGUAUUUAUUUCAUGUCAGUGAUUGAAUUUAACAAGUAUAUUUUCUGACAGCUAAAUAAAGACUUUUUCCCCCAUAA